Molecule: ribosomal RNA, 910 nt
Filed under: uncultured bacterium
Lineage: Bacteria
Description: bacterial SSU rRNA
Rfam family: Bacterial small subunit ribosomal RNA
Source: RNAcentral
AGUGGCGCACGGGUGAGUAACACGUAGGUAAUCUACCUUUGGAUGGGGAAUAACAACCGGAAACGGUUGCUAAUACCGCAUAAUGCAGCGGCACCUAAUGGUGACAGUUGUUAAAGCGGGGGAUCGAAAGACCUCGCGUCUGAAGAGGAGCCUGCGGCGGAUUAGCUAGUUGGUAAGGUAACGGCUUACCAAGGCGACGAUCCGUAGCCGGCCUGAGAGGGCGGUCGGCCACACUGACACUGACAUACGGGUCAGACUCCUACGGGAGGCAGCAGUCGGGAAUUUUGGGCAAUGGGCGAAAGCCUGACCCAGCAACGCCGCGUGAAGGAUGAAAUCCCUCGGGAUGUAAACUUCGCAAGAACGGGAAGAAUAAGUAGGGGACAAUACCCCCUAUGAUGACGGUACCGUUUGUAAGCUCCGGCUAACUCCGUGCCAGCAGCCGCGGUAAUACGGGGGGAGCAAGCGUUGUUCGGAUUUACUGGGCGUAAAGGGCGCGUAGGCGGCCAGUGCAAGUCAGUUGUGAAAUCUCCGAGCUUAACUCGGAAAGGUCAACUGAUACUGCUCGGCUAGAGUGCGGAAGGGGCAACUGGAAUUCUUGGUGUAGCGGUGAAAUGCGUAGAUAUCAAGAGGAACACCUGCGGCGAAGGCGGGUUGCUGGGCCGACACUGACGCUGAGGCGCGAAAGCUAGGGGAGCGAACGGGAUUAGAUACCCCGGUAGUCCUAGCCUUAAACGAUGAAUGCUUGGUGUCUGGGGUUAUAUAGUCCCCGGGUGCCGUCGCUAACGCUUUAAGCAUUCCGCCUGGGGAGUACGGUCGCAAGACUGAAACUCAAAGGAAUUGACGGGGACCCGCACAAGCGGUGGAGCAUGUGGUUUAAUUCGACGCAACGCGAAGAACCUUACCUGGGCUA